GUGAGGAAUAUUGCGCAAUGGGGGAAACCCUGACGCAGCGACGCCGCGUGGAUGAUGAAGGCCUUCGGGUCGUAAAAUCCUGUCAGAUGGAAAGAAAUGCCUCAUCUCUAAUAUAGGUGAGGUUUGACGGUACCAUCAAAGGAAGCACCGGCUAACUCCGUGCCAGCAGCCGCGGUAAUACGGAGGGUGCAAGCGUUGUUCGGAAUUACUGGGCGUAAAGGGCGCGUAGGCGGUCUGCUCAGUCAGAUGUGAAAGUCCAUGGCUCAACCGUGGAAGUGCAUUUGAUACUGGCAGACUUGAGUACUGGAGGGGGUGGUGGAAUUCCCGGUGUAGAGGUGAAAUUCGUAGAUAUCGGGAGGAAUACCGGUGGCGAAGGCGACCAUCUGGCCAGAUACUGACGCUGAGGCGCGAAAGCGUGGGGAGCAAACAGGAUUAGAAACCCGUGUAGUCC
RNAcentral lists this ribosomal RNA (451 nucleotides) under uncultured bacterium. RNAcentral's name for it is "bacterial SSU rRNA". It matches the Rfam family "Bacterial small subunit ribosomal RNA", at positions 354 to 796 of the family's 1533-position model. The record is from RNAcentral.